This 28-nucleotide non-coding RNA is filed under the name Mus musculus (house mouse). Lineage: Eukaryota; Metazoa; Chordata; Mammalia; Rodentia; Muridae. The record is from RNAcentral.
UAGUUUAAUUAUGGCUCUCAAUUUUAAA